RNAcentral lists this long non-coding RNA (500 nucleotides) under Helianthus annuus (common sunflower). Its description in RNAcentral is "hypothetical non coding rna". The record is from RNAcentral. Lineage: Eukaryota; Viridiplantae; Streptophyta; Magnoliopsida; Asterales; Asteraceae.
UUUAGAUGUUGUUAGAAGACAGAUGCAGGUUGAAAAUCUUCAAGCUGGUGGUGUGAGACAUGCGAGUACAUGGAAGGGGAUUACCACAAAUGUUUCUGAACAAGGUUGGAGGCAAUUGUUUGCUGGCCUCAGCAUUUAAUUACAUCAAGAUUGUUCCUUCUGUUGCGAUCGGUUUCACCGCAUAUGACAUGAUGAAAUCAUGGCUUCGCAUACCUCCUCGACAGAAAACACAAUCAGUCUCUGCCGCUUAAGUUCUCAACAAGGAAAAAUAAAAGCAAGUGGAAUAUUCAAAUCUUUCGGUUUCAGUUGUCAUUAGAAGAUUCCAUUUGUUGAAUGUAAAAUUGUCAUCGAGGCGUUAAGGUUGCAGAUAGUCCUUAGCAUAUCUGUUAGGUGGUCUUGUAUAACAAUAUAAGCAGUGUCUAAGGUUACACAUUAUAAUAUGCACCAUCAGUUUUGAUGGAGACGUCAUAAAAAUGUUAUGAAAUACCUGUCGAAUUUGG